GCAAGUCGAGCGGUAGAAUGUCUUCGGAUGCUUGAUACCGGCGCACGGGUGCGUAACGCGUAUGCAACCUACCUUUUACUGGGGGAUAGCCGGGAGAAAUUAGGAUUAAUGCUCCAUAUGAAGGUACGACCUCAUGGUCAAGAGAGGAAAGCUCCGGCGGUAAGAGAUGGGCAUGCGUCCUAUUAGCUUGUUGGUGAGGUAACGGCUCACCAAGGCUACGAUAGGUAGGGGGCCUGAGAGGGUGAGC
RNAcentral lists this ribosomal RNA (247 nucleotides) under uncultured bacterium. Its description in RNAcentral is "partial 16S ribosomal RNA". It matches the Rfam family "Bacterial small subunit ribosomal RNA", at positions 57 to 305 of the family's 1533-position model. The record is from RNAcentral.